Molecule: small nucleolar RNA, 107 nt
Organism: Gossypium arboreum
Lineage: Eukaryota; Viridiplantae; Streptophyta; Magnoliopsida; Malvales; Malvaceae
Rfam family: Plant small nucleolar RNA R71
About the family: R71 is a member of the C/D box family of snoRNAs containing the C (UGAUGA) and D (CUGA) box motifs. Multiple nearly identical copies of this snoRNA have been identified in Arabidopsis, and it is thought to function as a 2'-O-ribose methylation guide for 18S ribosomal RNA.
Source: Rfam
AAACCAUGCAUUGGGCAUUUUCUAGUUAACUCAUUGAAUCACUCCCAUGCUUUAUAUAAUGUUUCAUCCUCAGAUUGCCAAAAGAACGUAAUAUCAUUCCUUAAUUU